Molecule: ribosomal RNA, 484 nt
Filed under: uncultured bacterium
Lineage: Bacteria
Description: partial 16S ribosomal RNA
Rfam family: Bacterial small subunit ribosomal RNA
Source: RNAcentral
AUUGAACGCUGGCGGCAGGCUUAACACAUGCAAGUCGAGCGGAUGAAGGGAGCUUGCUCCUGGAUUCAGCGGCGGACGGGUGAGUAAUGCCUAGGAAUCUGCCUGGUAGUGGGGGAUAACGUCCGGAAACGGGCGCUAAUACCGCAUACGUCCUGAGGGAGAAAGUGGGGGAUCUUCGGACCUCACGCUAUCAGAUGAGCCUAGGUCGGAUUAGCUAGUUGGUGGGGUAAAGGCCUACCAAGGCGACGAUCCGUAACUGGUCUGAGAGGAUGAUCAGUCACACUGGAACUGAGACACGGUCCAGACUCCUACGGGAGGCAGCAGUGGGGAAUAUUGGACAAUGGGCGAAAGCCUGAUCCAGCCAUGCCGCGUGUGUGAAGAAGGUCUUCGGAUUGUAAAGCACUUUAAGUUGGGAGGAAGGGCAGUAAGUUAAUACCUUGCUGUUUUGACGUUACCAACAGAAUAAGCACCGGCUAACUUCGUG